AUUGAACGCUGGCGGCAGGCCUAACACAUGCAAGUCGAGCGGAUGAAGGGAGCUUGCUCCUGGCUUCAGCGGCGGACGGGUGAGUAAUGCCUAGGAAUCUGCCUGGUAGUGGGGGAUAACGUCCGGAAACGGGCGCUAAUACCGCAUACGUCCUGAGGGAGAAAGUGGGGGAUCUUCGGACCUCACGCUAUCAGAUGAGCCUAGGUCGGAUUAGCUAGUUGGUGGGGUAAAGGCCUACCAAGGCGACGAUCCGUAACUGGUCUGCGAGGAUGAUCAGUCACACUGGAACUGAGACACGGUCCGGACUCCAACGGGAGGCAGCAGUGGGAAAUAUUGGACAAUGGGCGAAAGCCUGAUCCAGCCAUGCCGCGUGGGUGAAGAAGGUCUUCGGAUUGUAAAGCACUUUAAGUGGGAAGGAAGGGCAGUAAGUUAAUACCUUGCUGUUUUGACGUUACCAACAGAAUAAGCACCGGCUAACUUCGU
Molecule: ribosomal RNA, 483 nt
Filed under: uncultured bacterium
Lineage: Bacteria
Description: partial 16S ribosomal RNA
Rfam family: Bacterial small subunit ribosomal RNA
Source: RNAcentral